UACGAAGGGUGCAAACGUUGCUCGGAAUUAUUGGGCGUAAAGCGCACGUAGGCGGCUCUGCAAGUCCCAUGUGAAAGCCCACGGCUCAACCGUGGAAGUGCAUGGGAAACUGCAAAGCUUGAGUACUUAAGAGGAUCGCGGAAUUCCCGGUGUAGAGGUGAAAUUCGUAGAUAUCGGGAGGAACACCAGUGGCGAAGGCGGCGAUCUGGGAAGAUACUGACGCUGAGGUGCGAAAGCGUGGGGAGCAAACAGG
Molecule: ribosomal RNA, 253 nt
Filed under: uncultured bacterium
Lineage: Bacteria
Description: partial 16S ribosomal RNA
Rfam family: Bacterial small subunit ribosomal RNA
Source: RNAcentral